AUUGAACGCUGGCGGCAGGCUUAACACAUGCAAGUCGAACGAGUGGCGGACGGGUGAGUAAUGCUUGGGAAUCUGGCUUAUGGCGGGGGAUAACGACCGGAACCUUUCGCUAAUCCCGAGUACCAUAGGAUGAGCCCAAGUGGGAUUAGGUAGUUGGUGGGGUAAUGGCCUACCUAGCCGACGAUCUCUAGCUGGUCUGAGAGGAUGACCAGCCACACCGGAACGGAGACACGGCCCGGACUCCUACGGGAGGCAGCAGUGGGGAAUAUUGCGCAAUGGGGGCAACCUGACGCAGCCAUGCCGCGUGAAUGAAGAAGGCCUUCGGGUUGUAAAGUUCUUUCGGUGACGAGGCGUUAAUCACAGAAGAAGCACCGGCUAACUCCGUGCCAGCAGCCGCGGUAAUUC
RNAcentral lists this ribosomal RNA (405 nucleotides) under uncultured bacterium. Its description in RNAcentral is "partial 16S ribosomal RNA". It matches the Rfam family "Bacterial small subunit ribosomal RNA", at positions 30 to 526 of the family's 1533-position model. The record is from RNAcentral.